AAUAAAAAAAUCUGCAAUGGCUUUACAUAGCUAGGAAACCAGAAGCUUAGCCGACGCAACACAGAAGUAUAAGCUGAUGCAACAGCAACAUAUCAAAUCGAUUUAUUUCAAGGGAUCAUCACAGUAUGGUACACAAGAAUUUUGGGGACAGUCGCCAGCGCAACAUGUGGCCGUGAUAUACAUGGUUACAGCUUACAUCACACUCAUACAAGGUACAUCGAUUUGCUCUCUCCGAGCUACUAAUACAGGCAGUACAUCUCAAUUACACCCUGUGACACUUAUGUCCAGGUGAAUGCACACUGUAUGUAGCUCCUCAUCUCGGUACUGGUCUUCUGCUAAGGGCAGAGGCUUUCUCGAGGGGAAAAAUAACUUCAGCCUUUUUGGAGAUGCUACUCUAAAAUCAUCUCCACAGUAUAUGAAGGAGACAGUUGAAAUAUGAUCUCCUCGACGGUUUUCGGAGUAAUGUACAUGUCUUUGUUUCUGCAGUAACCAAACACACUGAAGUUAGUAUUAUUACAAACAACACCAUCAAUGUAGCAGAUAUAGAAUGUACUUGAGGAUUUUAAUUUUACCUUCAUGACUCAAUGGCUGCAACCCUCACAGGCUUCAUUACUCUCACAAUGUUCCUCAUAUGCUCAAACCCCAUCACUAUCAGUCCUAUCAGAUAAAGAAAGCUCAGUUGGAACUUUGCAAGAAAGUUAUACACUGCUACAGCAGCAUUGCCAGCUUCAUCUUUUCGUAUUGUGAGGGUUACAGAUCUCGCAGAAAUAAGUGCCCCGGUUUCUGGUAAAGGUCAAAGUAAGCAGUGUGCCUUCCAACAUAGCCUUCGAAUAAAUUUCGCGACAUGCAGCCGUCUACGCAUACCUGAUGUGUUCUCUGGUUGCGACGACCACUCGUGAGGUUUCAUCGCAGAUUUGGUGGCCUUUAUCAGAUCCAUCAUUGCGUUGUUGACCUGUAGUAGAUCAAUAUAUUAUAUCAGUUUCUUAUUCUUUACUGUAACACUUAAGGAUGAUAUGUAGAACAACAAGGAGAAACCAAAUCAACAUUCAAUUUCUCAUUUUUGUUUCUUGUUUUCACUGGAACAGCAAAGUGGCAACCUUAGAGGUGAAAUAAUCCUGAGAAGAUAAGAAUCUCCAUGGUGAAGUAGACUGGUCAGUAUGUUAUGUACUUAUAGACAGUCCAUGUCUGUAAGCUAACAUGUUCAACUCUAGGACUUGUAUGUACUACAAUUAUGUCCAAACAUCAUGUUUUUAACAAGUUCUAUUGCUGUCAACUCACAAAGUCAAUUUAGAUUCAUAUACUAGUUGUUUGAGCAGCAGGACUGUACAACUGUAAUCCUGCGGCUGAAUUUUUAUUCUUGUUUGUCUUUUUUUUGUGUUUGAUGAUUUCCUGCAUUUCA
Molecule: long non-coding RNA, 1399 nt
Organism: Lolium perenne
Lineage: Eukaryota; Viridiplantae; Streptophyta; Magnoliopsida; Poales; Poaceae
Source: RefSeq, a predicted model, not a curated record